Molecule: ribosomal RNA, 132 nt
Filed under: uncultured bacterium
Lineage: Bacteria
Description: partial 16S rRNA
Rfam family: Bacterial small subunit ribosomal RNA
Source: RNAcentral
AUGGGCGCAAGCCUGAUCUAGCCAUGCCGCGUUGAGUGACGAAGGCCUUAGGGUCGUAAAGCUCUUUCGCCAGAGAUGAUAAUGACAGUAUCUGGUAAAGAAACCCCGGCUAACUCCGUGCCAGCAGCCGCG